This 496-nucleotide ribosomal RNA is filed under the name uncultured bacterium. RNAcentral describes it as "partial 16S ribosomal RNA". It matches the Rfam family "Bacterial small subunit ribosomal RNA", at positions 29 to 507 of the family's 1533-position model. The record is from RNAcentral.
AUGAACGCUGGCGGCGUGCCUAAUACAUGCAAGUCGAGCGAACGGACGAGAAGCUUGCUUCUCUGAUGUUAGCGGCGGACGGGUGAGUAACACGUGGAUAACCUACCUAUAAGACUGGGAUAACUUCGGGAAACCGGAGCUAAUACCGGAUGAUAUUUUGAACCGCAUGGUUCAAAAGUGAAAGACGGUCUUGCUGUCACUUAUAGAUGGAUCCGCGCUGCAUUAGCUAGUUGGUAAGGUAACGGCUUACCAAGGCAACGAUGCAUAGCCGACCUGAGAGGGUGAUCGGCCACACUGGAACUGAGACACGGUCCAGACUCCUACGGGAGGCAGCAGUAGGGAAUCUUCCGCAAUGGGCGAAAGCCUGACGGAGCAACGCCGCGUGAGUGAUGAAGGUCUUCGGAUCGUAAAACUCUGUUAUUAGGGAAGAACAUAUGUGUAAGUAACUGUGCACAUCUUGACGGUACCUAAUCAGAAAGCCACAGCUAACUACAUG